This 469-nucleotide ribosomal RNA is filed under the name uncultured bacterium. Its description in RNAcentral is "bacterial SSU rRNA". It matches the Rfam family "Bacterial small subunit ribosomal RNA", at positions 335 to 795 of the family's 1533-position model. The record is from RNAcentral.
ACUCCUACGGGAGGCAGCAGUGGGGAAUAUUGCACAAUGGGCGCAAGCCUGAUGCAGCCAUGCCGCGUGUAUGAAGAAGGCCUUCGGGUUGUAAAGUACUUUUCAGCAGUGAGGAAGGUGGAUAUGUUAAUAGCAUAUUCAUUUGACGUUAGCUGCAGAAGAAGCACCGGCUAACUCCGUGCCAGCAGCCGCGGUAAUACGGAGGUGCGAGCGUUAAUCGGAAUUACUGGACGUAAGCGCAUGCAGGUGGUUUGUUAAGUCAGAUGUGAAAGCCCGGGGCUCAACCUCGGAAUUGCAUUUGAAACUGGCAAACUAGAGUACUGUAAGAGGGGGGUAGAAUUUCAGGUGUAGCGGUGAAAUGCGUAGAGAUCUGAAGGAAUACCGGUGGCGAAGGCGGCCCCCUGGACAGAUACUGACACUCAGAUAGCGAAAGCGUGGGGAGCAAACAGGAUUAGAUACCCUGGUAGCU